GACGAACGCUGGCGGCGUGCUUAACACAUGCAAGUCGAGCGGUAAGGCCCUUUCGGGGGUACACGAGCGGCGAACGGGUGAGUAACACGUGGGUGACCUGCCCUCAGCUCUGGGAUAAGCCCGGGAAACUAGGGUCUAAUACCGGAUAUGACUCCAUGACGCAUGUUGUGGGGUGGAAAGCCUUGUGCGGCUGAGGAUGGGCCCGCGGCCUAUCAGCUUGUUGGUGGGGUGAUGGCCUACCAAGGCGACGACGGGUAGCCGGCCUGAGAGGGCGACCGGCCACACUGGGACUGAGACACGGCCCAGACUCCUACGGGAGGCAGCAGUGGGGAAUCUUGCGCAAUGGGCGAAAGCCUGACGCAGCGACGCCGCGUGAGGGAUGACGGCCUGGUGUAACU
This 398-nucleotide ribosomal RNA is filed under the name uncultured bacterium. Its description in RNAcentral is "bacterial SSU rRNA". It matches the Rfam family "Bacterial small subunit ribosomal RNA", at positions 28 to 430 of the family's 1533-position model. The record is from RNAcentral.